Molecule: ribosomal RNA, 254 nt
Filed under: uncultured Actinomycetales bacterium
Lineage: Bacteria; Bacillati; Actinomycetota; Actinomycetes; Actinomycetales
Description: partial 16S ribosomal RNA
Rfam family: Bacterial small subunit ribosomal RNA
Source: RNAcentral
UUUGUGGGGUGCUCGAGCGGCGAACGGGUGAGUAACACGUGAGUAACCUGCCCUUGACUUUGGGAUAACUUCAGGAAACUGGGGCUAAUACCGGAUAGGAGCUCCUGCUGCAUGGUGGGGGUUGGAAAGUUUCGGCGGUUGGGGAUGGACUCGCGGCUUAUCAGCUUGUUGGUGGGGUAGUGGCUUACCAAGGCUUUGACGGGUAGCCGGCCUGAGAGGGUGACCGGCCACAUUGGGACUGAGAUACGGCCCAG